Echinops telfairi (small Madagascar hedgehog) is the source of this 103-nucleotide small nuclear RNA. The record is from Ensembl. Lineage: Eukaryota; Metazoa; Chordata; Mammalia; Afrosoricida; Tenrecidae.
CUCCCUCCAGAGACAGACGUACUAAAAUUGGAACAAUACAGAGAAGAUGAGCAUGGCCCUGUGCAAAGAUGACACGCAAGUUCGAGAGGCGUUCCAUAGUUUG